Molecule: long non-coding RNA, 2314 nt
Filed under: Homo sapiens (human)
Lineage: Eukaryota; Metazoa; Chordata; Mammalia; Primates; Hominidae
Description: HSALNT0344595
Source: RNAcentral
AGCUGACGGGCGGGCCCUUCCGGAGGCGCCGCGCCUGGACCGUGGCCGCAGGUUGGGCAGCGCCAGACGCAGAGCCCUGUGCCGCUUGCGUCCCCGGGCUUCCUGCCCGACAAGGACGGGGGGCCGGACAGAGAGCCGUGUCGGCCGAGACCCGAAUCCGGGAUCAGGUUUGUGUUUCUGUGGACACGUCUGCCCACAAAGAGGGCAGUGGGCAAUUGUUCUCUUCACCAGAGAAUGGUUUUUGUCAACGUUCAGUGAGAUCAUUUCACCAGUGAGGUGGCCACAGCGGCGCUUUCUCUACCCAAACCUCGCUUCCUCUCGCUGAAGGGGUUCCAGUCUCGAUCAUCAGUGAAGUCCUUCCACAUCCAUGGGGCGUCCACCAACUAGGAGCUUAAUCAACACAACGCUGUGGCCUCUCCAGCUCAGGGACGUGCCUUUCCCGUGUCUUCUUCUCACACACAAACGUAGCCUGCAAGGAAGGUCAGGUUCAAUGCACGGAAUCUACCCUGCUGCCCGCUAGGAGGUCAUAUGUGUAUCACAGACCCGCAGAGAAUGCUCUCCACAGUACAUGAAGCGCGGUACAAAUGGAAUGAGUGUAACGGGCAUUCUCUGUUUGAAAAAAGUUAUCCCAAUUGAAUAGUCGGUAAUUUCUCUUUAUUGUAACCCAAUAGAUCACAAAAUGCAACCUGAGGUUUAAGCUGAGGGGUGGGGCGUUUGCAGAGGGCUGUGUGGUGGAGGUUAGGUUAGGUUUGCAGACGGCUGUGUGGUGGAGGUUAGGUUAGGUUUGCAGAGGACUGUGUGGUGGAGGUUAGGUUAGGUUUACAGAGGGCUGUGUAGUGUGGAGGUUAGGUUAGGUUUGCAGAGGGCUGUGGUGGAGGUUAGGGUCGGUUUGCAGAAGGCUGUGGUGGAGGGUAGGUCACGUUUGUAGAGGGCUGUGUAAUGGAGGUUACGUUAGGUUUACAGAAGGCUGUGUGGUGGAGGUGGGGCCUUCUCCCUGCCCCACGGUGGUCCCAUGCAGCCCGCAAAACACCCAUGUUCGGCACGGGUCCAGUGACCUCAGCAGGGAGGCAGCUCCCUGAUUACAAGACCAACUUUUGUUCUUGGACCAAAGCUGAUUUUGCCUUCUCUGUAGGAUGAUUGCGCAAAAGGUCACCAGAGUCAUUCUGAAAGCAGCAGGAGUUCUGAGGCUUCUGUUCGCUCCAAUUUACUUAACAAAGGGCAUUCAGGUGGAUUUGUUCAGGCUGUGCUUUAUGAUUCUCUGAAAAUUAAAAAUCCUUCCUGUGAUGUAACCAUGUGGCAGACGGAGAAUCUGCCUCAAUGUAGGAGUUAAAGAUUUGAACUCCAAGUUCAUUUCUGAGUCGUUUGGAUUCUGUAAUUAUUCAUCCUUUUUGACUUUGUUUUACUUUGCAUUAUCAAAAUGCAUAAAGUGGAGACUGGACGGUGGAAAUCCUGCAGGGCACCGAGGCACCUAACGUCAAGGCUUCAGUCCGAAUCGGUCCAAGCAGAGGCCACUCAGGAAAGCAACUGUGCGUGGGACUCCGGUGCCGCACGGCCUGGCACUUCGUCUUCCGUGACUCGCCUGUUUCACGAGUGGGAUCCCAAGCCCAAUACGACAGCCAGGGCAUUGUCCUCACUGACAGCAGGUGGUCGAUCUCAAGCCCAAUACCACAGCCGGGGCGCUGUCCUCACUGACAGCAGGUGGUCACUGGGGAGCAUGCUACUGAGGUGCUGUUCAUCUCCAGGAAAUUAGAUUCUUAACAUCACCUCUCCACGACCUCAGAACUGAGCCCCCACCUCCUACAUUUGGGUUAACGACACCUCUCCACGACCUCAGAACUGAUCCCCCACCUCCUACAUUUGGGUUAACGACCCCUCUCCACGGCCUCAGAACUGAUCCCCCACCUCCUACAUUUGGGUUAACGACACCUCUCCACGACCUCAGAACUGAGCCCCCACCUCCUACAUUUGGGUUAACGACACCUCUCCACGGCCUCAGAACUGAGCCCCCACCUCCUACAUUUGGGUUAACGACACCUCUCCACGGCCUCAGAACUGAGCCCCCACCUCCUACAUUUGGGUUAACGACACCUCUCCACGACCUCAGAACUGAUCCCCCACCUCCUACAUUUGGGUUAACGACAUCUCUCCACGGCCUCAGAACUGAGCCCCCACCUCCUACAUUUGGGUUAACGACCCCUCUCCACGGCCUCAGAACUGAGCCCCCACCUCCUACAUUUGGGUUAACGACACCUCUCCACGGCCUCAGAACUGAGCCCCCACCUCCUACAUUUGGGUUAACGACACCUCUCCACGA